Molecule: ribosomal RNA, 276 nt
Filed under: Triticum aestivum (bread wheat)
Lineage: Eukaryota; Viridiplantae; Streptophyta; Magnoliopsida; Poales; Poaceae
Description: partial small subunit ribosomal RNA
Source: RNAcentral
AUGGAUUUACCUGGACCAAUACAUGAGAUUGUUAUGCUAUUUGGGGGAUUUGUUCUUCUACUAGGGGGUCUAGGAGUAGUAUUACUUACCAACCCCAUUUAUUCUGCCUUUUCGCUGGGAUUAGUUCUUGUUUGUAUAUCCUUAUUCUAUUUUUUAUUAAAUUCCUACUUUGUAGCUGUCGCACGACUUCUUAUUUAUGUGGGAGCCAUAAAUAUCUUGAUCAUAUUCGUUGUGCACGGUAUCCGGUGCAUUGCGGUACAAGAUCAGACGAGAUGA